UAUUCAUAUGCUUGUCUCAAAAAUUAACCCAUGCAUAUCUAAUUACAACCCUCAUUAAGGUGAAACCGCGAAGGGCUCAUUAAACCACAUCUAAUAUACUGAAUACUUUCUUUUACUUGAAUAACUGCGGUAAUCCUGAAGCUAAUACAUGCGUACAACCCCCAAACUUACGUGAGGGGCGCUUUUAUUAAAUCAAAACCAAACGGCUUCGGCCGUCUCUCUGGUGACUCUAAAUAACUUUGGGCUGAUCGCAUGGCUGUAUGCCGGCAACUUAUCCUUCUAAGGUGUGCCCUAUCAACUGUCAACUGUGGCAUAAACCCCCACAGUGGUUUUGACGGGUAACGGGAAAUUAGGGUUCAAUUCCGGAAAGGGAGCCUGAAAAACGGCUACCACUUCUAAGGAAGGCAGCAGGCACGCAAAUUACCCACUGGUCAAAAACCGAGGUAGUGACAAAAAAUAACGAUACCGGACUCAUCCAAGGCCCGGUAAUCGAAAUGAGUACACUUUAAAUCCUUUAACAAGAAACAAUUGA
This 532-nucleotide ribosomal RNA is filed under the name uncultured eukaryote. Its description in RNAcentral is "bacterial SSU rRNA". It matches the Rfam family "Eukaryotic small subunit ribosomal RNA", at positions 21 to 551 of the family's 1831-position model. The record is from RNAcentral.